GAUGAAGAACGUAGCGAAAUGCGAUAAGUAAUGUGAAUUGCAGAAUUCAGUGAAUCAUCGAAUCUUUGAACGCACAUUGCGCCCGCCAGUAUUCUGGCGGGCAUGCCUGUUCGAGCGUCAUUACACCACUCAAGCUAUGCUUGGUAUUGGGCGUCGUCCUUAGUUGGGCGCGCCUUAAAGACCUCGGCGAGGCCACUCCGGCUUUAGGCGUAGUAGAAUUUAUUCGAACGUCUGUCAAAGGAGAGGAACUCUGCCGACUGAAACCUUUAUUUUUCUAGGUUGACCUCGGAUCAGGUAGGGAUACCCGCUGAACUUAAGCAUAUCAAUAAGCGGAGGA
RNAcentral lists this unclassified non-coding RNA (337 nucleotides) under soil metagenome. Its description in RNAcentral is "partial contains 5.8S ribosomal RNA, internal transcribed spacer 2, and large subunit ribosomal RNA". The stretch from base 1 to 120 matches the Rfam family "5.8S ribosomal RNA", at positions 35 to 154 of the family's 154-position model. The record is from RNAcentral.